RNAcentral lists this ribosomal RNA (443 nucleotides) under uncultured bacterium. RNAcentral describes it as "bacterial SSU rRNA". It matches the Rfam family "Bacterial small subunit ribosomal RNA", at positions 335 to 795 of the family's 1533-position model. The record is from RNAcentral.
ACUCCUACGGGAGGCAGCAGUGGGGAAUAUUGCACAAUGGAGGAAACUCUGAUGCAGCAACGCCGCGUGGAGGACGAAGGUUUUCGGAUUGUAAACUCCUGUCUUUUGGGACGAUAAUGACGGUACCAAAAGAGGAAGCCACGGCUAACUACGUGCCAGCAGCCGCGGUAAUACGUAGGUGGCGAGCGUUGUCCGGAAUUACUGGGCGUAAAGGGCGCGUAGGCGGCCUGUUAAGUCAGAUGUGAAACCCCCAGGCUCAACUUGGGGAUUGCAUAUGAAACUGAUGGGCUCGAGUGUCGGAGAGGAAAGCGGAAUUCCUAGUGUAGCGGUGAAAUGCGUAGAUAUUAGGAGGAACACCAGUGGCGAAGGCGGCUUUCUGGACGAUAACUGACGCUGAGGCGCGAAAGCGUGGGGAGCAAACAGGAUUAGAUACCCUGGUAGUC